RNAcentral lists this ribosomal RNA (440 nucleotides) under Rossellomorea marisflavi. RNAcentral describes it as "bacterial SSU rRNA". It matches the Rfam family "Bacterial small subunit ribosomal RNA", at positions 77 to 505 of the family's 1533-position model. Lineage: Bacteria; Bacillati; Bacillota; Bacilli; Caryophanales; Bacillaceae. The record is from RNAcentral.
GACUUGAUCCUGANUCUUCGGCGGNNGGGUGAGUACACGUGGGUACCUGCCUGUAAGACUGGGAUAACUCCGGGAAACCGGGGCUAAUACCGGAUAACACCUACCCCCGCAUGGGGGAAGGUUGAAAGGUGGCUUCGGCUAUCACUUACAGAUGGACCCGCGGCGCAUUAGCUAGUUGGUGAGGUAAUGGCUCACCAAGGCGACGAUGCGUAGCCGACCUGAGAGGGUGAUCGGCCACACUGGGACUGAGACACGGCCCAGACUCCUACGGGAGGCAGCAGUAGGGAAUCUUCCGCAAUGGACGAAAGUCUGACGGAGCAACGCCGCGUGAGUGAAGAAGGUUUUCGGAUCGUAAAACUCUGUUGUUAGGGAAGAACAAGUGCCGUUCGAAUAGGGCGGCGCCUUGACGGUACCUAACCAGAAAGCCACGGCUAACUACG